This 189-nucleotide non-coding RNA is filed under the name Streptomyces viridosporus. RNAcentral also lists the same sequence under 1 other name. The record is from RNAcentral. Lineage: Bacteria; Bacillati; Actinomycetota; Actinomycetes; Kitasatosporales; Streptomycetaceae.
UGGUUUGGGAUGGGAUGAUGGCCGUCGACAAGGCGACGGCGGAACGAGGAAGCCGGUGUGAAUCCGGCGCGGUCCCGCCACUGUGAUCGGCGAGCGACUCCCGACAGGCCACUGCCCGGCAGCGGGUGGGAAGGCCGGGACGAGCAUCGACCCGAGAGCCAGGAGACUCACGCGGUCGCCUCCUCGACG